Panicum virgatum (switchgrass) is the source of this 2367-nucleotide RNA transcript. RefSeq lists it as uncharacterized. Lineage: Eukaryota; Viridiplantae; Streptophyta; Magnoliopsida; Poales; Poaceae. The transcript has 5 exons. The record is from RefSeq and is a predicted model, not a curated record.
UCCCUUGUUACUGGCGUUGGGCAGCCGCACAUAGCACAGCUGAGAGCCUCACGGCAAGGUUGUGGGCUGCUGGUUACGGCCGCCUUCCCGGCGUAGCCGCGUGGCUGCUGUGUUGGAGCUACGGCGACCGUCCCCAGGCGAUGAUGGGCUGAUGGUGCAGGGGCGGUCGCCUUCCCCGUUCCAAGCUCCAAGCCUGCCCGCGCCCUGUCGCUCUCUGCUUGCUCUAUGCUGUUCCUUUUGGCACGGGGUGCCGGGGACUGUGGCGGUUCCGGCCUAGGAUCGCAGCCGGUUUACCUGCCACGCAUUUCUGCGGUUCAGAGCCCGCGGCAUCGAAUGAAGGCCAAGCUUCUGUACCGCCGUCUCACCUGCCACCCGCGAGGUGUUCGACCUUAUGGCGCUGAAGCAGUGAAGCGGGUGCGCCGGCACGCUGUUGAGGUUCAGAGUGUACUUCGACUCAAACCGAGUAAAUCACACGUUCUUGCACAUCCUAAGCCGUGCCGCUUGAACCAAACACUACUUGGAAAUGGAUGCAGCCCGAUUGAUUUUACAACUGCAAGUUUUGGUUGUUGCCUGUCAGUCUGUGGACGUGGGGCUAACUUCUGGCUUCACUUCCUCCAUGCUUUCUGCAGAUUAGCCAGAUGACAGUCCACGCUACAAAAUAUCUAUGUGUUACAUGUAGCUGCACCUGCACUGCAUUGCUGUCACAUGUGACUGAGACUGUGUUGCAAGAUGUUGACUUAUUAUCUGGAGCUAAUACAGGUACAAUGGGAUCAUAACUUGGAGGAUAGUGUGAUAUACAUCAAUGGAGUCUCAAUCUUGUAUCAUCCUAAGAUCUGUGUCAAGUACUUGGAUCUUCUGCUGCUACGAGUGAAGUUCAUACCUGCCAUGAGCAAACUAGUGCCAUUCUUGCUGUGAUCUCCAUCUGCAGAUAACACAUAGGUUGAUUGAAUAAAUGAGUAAGAAAUUUUGUGGAAAUUUACUGUUGGAAUCGCUUGAGGUUAUGGUUUCAUAUAUAUACUUUAAGAGAGAAUUUGACAAGCUUCACUACUUAAGUUGCAGCACAAAGAGAAAUGAUGAUGGAGAAAUGUCCCAGUAAUGAUAGGUAACAGUGGACCAGGUGCGAGGUAAGCAGUGACAACAUCAAUCAUAUUUUUGAAUUAAUUGGAAAUUUUAAUUUUUGCACAAGACUAAUCUAAAACAUUGUAGGAUUCUCAUAUUUUAGAUGAAAGCUGCAAUUUCCACAUUUUACUUUUUCAUGUUAUGUGUAACAAAUCUGUCGGCACCUAAUAUAAUACUGGAACAGAAGUGAUAUCAGGCACAUGGAAAGGUAAUCAUGUUACCUGAAACGCAAUCUGAAAGCGACAAAAGGUACUUCCUUAUGCUUCCCGAUUGCACUGAGAAAUUGACCAGGGGAAUCUGCCCAGCACUGCCAACCUCACUGAAGCUUCGGAUCCAUUCGAACCGCGGAGAGGCAUGGCAUGAAGCAAGACCGCGCUCAUCCGGCUCUAUGCUUUGGUGAACCUCCUUGCCAUGCCCAAAGAUGCUGCGGAAAACUGUGACGUCGCUGUGGCCGCAGCUGAUCGAUGAGAACCACGUCACCAAGUCGUGGUAACUUCUCUCGAAGUUGUCCACAGGUGGCCUGAAGGUGAAGAAGAAACUGCAGGGCAAGUUGUUGCUGACGCUGAGCUGCACAUCCUGGACUACCACGGCUGGGUCGAGACCCGGAGUAGCAACGAAGAAAGGAGGUCUGAUCUCGAUGGGUUCGGUACUGUUGCAUUGAAGCACGGACGGGCAUGAACUGGAGGAGAAGGUUGGGAGCAGGAUGAAGAGGAAGAUGGCCAGAGAGAGGGGCGAGACUGGCGAGGUGGUCAUUGCUGGGCAACAGCAACAGACUAGCACCAGGCAUGCAAAAUUGCAACUGCAUCAGCCACUGCAAGUAUUCUGUAGGGUAGAUGCCAGUGGCCUUUAGGCAAUAAUGCUACAGCCUACAGCUGCAGGGGGCGAAGACCGGCAGUAGACUUGAAGAGUGUCACUACAGAUACCUCCACGUCCUCCGGUCCUCGCACGGCUUGGUAGGACGAAUGUGCCAAAGUCGUUACCGUUGACGACAGCCGAGUGACUAGUUACUACAGUAGUAAACAAAAGAACGACUGACAAAUCAUAGUCUCACUUGUCAGCAUUCAGUAAGUAGUAGUCAUUACACGGUUGUAACUUGACUAACGAGUGACUGCGAGUAACUGCAAAGCUCCACCUCACAAGCUGAUCGAACAACUAACUUAACGGGCCACAUCUACUGCUGUUACAGUCGAAUACUAGUAAACAUUCCUUUUCAAAAAAAUAUAUUAGUAAACAUGAACUCCAGACGAA